UACGUAGGGUGCAAGCGUUAAUCGGAAUUACUGGGCGUAAAGCGUGCGCAGGCGGUGAUGUAAGACAGGUGUGAAAUCCCCGGGCCUAACCUGGGAACUGCAUUUGUGACUGCAUAGCUAGAGUCCGUCAGAGGGGGGUGGAAUUCCACGUGUAGCAGUGAAAUGCGUAGAGAUGUGGAGGAACGCCGAUGGCGAAGGCAGCCCCCUGGGAUGAGACUGACGCUCAUGUACGAAAGCGUGGGGAGCAAACAGG
RNAcentral lists this ribosomal RNA (253 nucleotides) under uncultured bacterium. RNAcentral's name for it is "partial 16S ribosomal RNA". It matches the Rfam family "Bacterial small subunit ribosomal RNA", at positions 524 to 776 of the family's 1533-position model. The record is from RNAcentral.